This 383-nucleotide long non-coding RNA is filed under the name Anas platyrhynchos platyrhynchos (common mallard). RNAcentral describes it as "lncRNA (ENSAPLG00000022058.1)". Lineage: Eukaryota; Metazoa; Chordata; Aves; Anseriformes; Anatidae. The record is from RNAcentral.
CCUCACCCUAAAUACUGAGGCCAAGCAGGGACACCUGUGAAGCAGCCUGGCUAAGAGAGGUAGCUGAGGCUCUGGGAGCUUUGGGCUGGGCCUGCCCAGAUCUAGGGGUUGCCUACAGCAAACCAUGGUUGAGGGAGAAGAACGAGACUGGAAGUCCUAGCAACCUCUGGAGGAGAAGCAGGAGCCCACGCAGGGAUAUACUUCUGGGUCGUUGCUCUGCAAGGAACUGGAGCUCCUCAUGCCAACGCUCUUCUGAAUCAGUGGAGCAAGUUUCUGUGGAGCUGAGAGUAUCAAGAUCUGUUAGGAGAACUUCAGCCAGGAAGCAGCUGCAGGGAAGAACAGUUCUGGCAGUCCCGUACACCAGGGAAGUGCUUCACUUUUGA